GGCUGGAUAGCUCAGUUGGUAGAGCACUGGAGCGGAAAUCCGGAGGUUGCAGGUUCAAACCCUGCUCCAGUCA
Molecule: transfer RNA, 73 nt
Filed under: Patiria miniata (bat star)
Lineage: Eukaryota; Metazoa; Echinodermata; Asteroidea; Valvatida; Asterinidae
Description: tRNA-Ser
Rfam family: tRNA
About the family: Transfer RNA (tRNA) molecules are approximately 80 nucleotides in length.
Source: Rfam by way of RNAcentral